UGGGGGAUAUUGCACAAUGGGCGAAAGCCUGAUGCAGCGACGCCGCGUGAGGGAUGAAGGCCUUCGGGUUGUAAACUUCUUUUGCUCUGAACAAGGCAUGCUAAUGGGUGUGUUGAGUGUAGGGGUUGAUUAGCGCCGGCUAACUACGUGCCAGCAGCCGCGGUAAUACGUAGGGCGCGAGCGUUGUCCGGAAUUAUUGGGCGUAAAGGGCUUGUAGGUGGCUGGUUGCGUCUGUCGUGAAAGCUCAUGGCUUAACUGUGGGUUUGCGGUGGGUACGGGCUGGCUUGAGUGCAGUAGGGGAGGCUGGAAUUCCUGGUGUAGCGGUGGAAUGCGCAGAUAUCAGGAGGAAUACCGGUGGCGAAGGCGGGUCUCUGGGCUGUUACUGACACUGAGGAGCGAAAGCAUGGGGAGCGAACAGG
Molecule: ribosomal RNA, 419 nt
Filed under: bacterium
Lineage: Bacteria
Description: partial 16S ribosomal RNA
Rfam family: Bacterial small subunit ribosomal RNA
Source: RNAcentral